GACGAACGCUGGCGGUGUGCUUAACACAUGCCAGUCGAACGGUAAGGCCCUUUCGGGGGUACACGAGUGGCGAACGGGUGAGUAACACGUGAGUAACCUGCCCUCAUCUCUGGGAUAACAGUCGGAAACGGUUGCUAAUACUGGAUAUGAGCUUGCAAGGCAUCUUGUGGGUUGGAAAGAUUUUUUUGGUUGGGGAUGGACUCGCGGCCUAUCAGCUUGUUGGUGAGGUAGUGGCUCACCAAGGCUUCGACGGGUAGCCGGCCUGAGAGGGCGACCGGCCACAUUGGGACUGAGAUACGGCCCAAACUCCUACGGGAGGCAGCAGUGGGGAAUAUUGCACAAUGGACGGAAGUCUGAUGCAGCAACGCCGCGUGCGGGAUGACGGCCUUCGGGUUGUAAACCGCUUUCAAUUGUGACGAAGCUUUUUGUGACGGUAGCAGUAGAAGAAGCACCGGCUAACUACGU
RNAcentral lists this ribosomal RNA (465 nucleotides) under uncultured bacterium. RNAcentral's name for it is "partial 16S ribosomal RNA". It matches the Rfam family "Bacterial small subunit ribosomal RNA", at positions 28 to 506 of the family's 1533-position model. The record is from RNAcentral.